GACGAACGCUGGCGGCGUGCUUAACACAUGCAAGUCGAACGGUGAAGGGGUCUGCUUUUGUGGGCCCUGGAUGAGUGGCGCACGGGUGAGUAACACGUGAGUAACCUGCCCCCUUCUUCUGGAUAACCGCAUGAAAGUGUGGCUAAUACGGGAUAUUCUGGGUCUGUCGCAUGAUGGGUCUGGGAAAGAUUGCGCCUUUGGGUGUUUUUGGUGGGGGAUGGGCUCGCGGCCUAUCAGCUUGUUGGUGGGGUGAUGGCCUACCAAGGCGGUGACGGGUAGCCGGCCGGAGAGGGUGGACGGUCACACUGGGACUGAGACACGGCCCAGACUCCUACGGGAGGCAGCAGUGGGGAAUAUUGCACAAUGGGCGCAAGCCUGAUGCAGCGACGCCGCGUGAGGGAUGGAGGCCUUCGGGUUGUAAACCUCUUUCGCCAGUGAAGCAGGCCUGCUCCUUGUGGGUGGGUUGACGGUAGCUGGAUAAGAAGCGCCGGCUAACUACGUG
RNAcentral lists this ribosomal RNA (502 nucleotides) under uncultured bacterium. RNAcentral describes it as "partial 16S ribosomal RNA". It matches the Rfam family "Bacterial small subunit ribosomal RNA", at positions 28 to 507 of the family's 1533-position model. The record is from RNAcentral.